Molecule: ribosomal RNA, 301 nt
Filed under: uncultured bacterium
Lineage: Bacteria
Description: partial 16S ribosomal RNA
Rfam family: Bacterial small subunit ribosomal RNA
Source: RNAcentral
CAGCCGCCGCGGUAAAACGGAGGGUGCAAGCGUUAUCCGGAUUCACUGGGUUUAAAGGGUGCGUAGGCGGGCAGGUAAGUCAGUGGUGAAAUCUUCGAGCUUAACUCGGAAACUGCCGUUGAUACUAUCUGUCUUGAAUAACGUUGAGGUGAGCGGAAUAUGUCAUGUAGCGGUGAAAUGCUUAGAUAUGACAUAGAACACCGAUUGCGAAGGCAGCUCACUAAACGCUCAUUGACGCUGAGGCACGAAAGCGUGGGGAUCAAACAGGAUUAGAUACCCCUGUAGUCCCUGUCUCUUAUAC